UGGGGAAUAUUGGGCAAUGGAGGCAACUCUGACCCAGCAACGCCGCGUGAAUGAUGAAGGUCUUCGGAUUGUAAAGUUCUGUGACGGGGGACGAACACAAUGACGGUACCCCGAUAGCAAGCCACGGCUAACUACGUGCCAGCAGCCGCGGUAAUACGUAGGUGGCAAGCGUUAUCCGGAAUGACUGGGCGUAAAGGGUGCGUAGGUGGUUUGGCAAGUUGGCGGCGUAAUUCCGGGGCUCAACUCCGGCGCUACCGCCAAAACUGUCGGACUCGAGUGCAGGAGGGGUAAGUGGAAUUCCUAGUGUAGCGGUGGAAUGCGUAGAUAUUAGGAAGAACAUCGGUGGCGAAGGCGACUUACUGGACUGUAACUGACACUGAGGCACGAAAGCGUGGGGAGCAAACA
This 405-nucleotide ribosomal RNA is filed under the name uncultured bacterium. RNAcentral describes it as "bacterial SSU rRNA". It matches the Rfam family "Bacterial small subunit ribosomal RNA", at positions 355 to 774 of the family's 1533-position model. The record is from RNAcentral.